AUUCUGCCCAUGCGGGGAAGGAUGAGAAGCUUCGACUAAGGUUCGACUCGAGCGCCAGCGAGAGAGCGUUGCCACAGGCAACGACCCGUAGGGCGAAGCGCGCAGCGCUGAGUAAUCCUUCCCCCACCACCA
RNAcentral lists this small RNA (132 nucleotides) under Escherichia fergusonii. RNAcentral's name for it is "RtT sRNA". It matches the Rfam family "RtT RNA". From Rfam's summary of the family: This family represents a bacterial cis-regulatory element known as RtT RNA. Lineage: Bacteria; Pseudomonadati; Pseudomonadota; Gammaproteobacteria; Enterobacterales; Enterobacteriaceae. The record is from RNAcentral.